Molecule: ribosomal RNA, 2031 nt
Filed under: Clostridioides difficile DA00261
Lineage: Bacteria; Bacillati; Bacillota; Clostridia; Peptostreptococcales; Peptostreptococcaceae
Description: bacterial LSU rRNA
Rfam family: Bacterial large subunit ribosomal RNA
Source: RNAcentral
GGGGCUAGCCUCAAGGUGAGAGAUACGGAGGUAGAGCACUGAAUGUCCUAGGGGGUAUUGCACCUACCGAAGACUAUCAAACUCCGAAUGCCGUCAUCUUAUACUUGGGAGUCAGACUGUGGGUGAUAAGAUUCAUAGUCGAAAGGGCAACAGCCCAGAUCGUCAGCUAAGGUCCCUAAAUGUAAGUUAAGUGGUAAAGGAUGUGGGAUUGCACAGACAACCAGGAUGUUGGCUUAGAAGCAGCCACUCAUUCAAAGAGUGCGUAAUAGCUCACUGGUCGAGUGAUCCUGCGCCGAAGAUUUCCGGGGCUAAAACUUACUACCGAAGCUACGGCAUCAGUAAUGAUGGGUAGGGGAGCUUCCCAUACGGGUUGAAGCAUGACCGUAAGGACAUGUGGACAGUAUGGGAGUGAGAAUGUUGGCAUGAGUAGCGAGAUGUGGGUGAGAAUCCCACAGGCCGUAAACCCAAGGUUUCCAGGGGAAGGUUCGUCCGCCCUGGGUUAGUCGGGACCUAAGCUGAGGCCGAAAGGCGUAGGUGAUGGACAACAGGUUGAUAUUCCUGUACUACCGAUAACCGUUUGAGAGAAGGGAUGACACAGUAGGAUAAGCUAAGCACACUGUUGGUUAUGUGUGCCCAAGCAUUGAGGCAGUCAAAGUAGGCAAAUCCGCUUUGAUAAUGCUGGGAUGUGAUGGGGAGCGAAAUUUAGUAGCGAAGUAGCUGAUUUCACACUGUCAAGAAAAGUCUCUAUCGAGGUUAAAGGUACCCGUACCGCAAACCGACACAGGUGGGUGAGGAGAGUAUCCUAAGGCCAGCGAGAGAACUGUUGUUAAGGAACUCGGCAAAAUGACCCCGUAACUUAGGGAUAAGGGGUGCCACCAUCAGGUGGCCGCAGAGAAUAGGCCCAAGCGACUGUUUACCAAAAACAUAGGUUUCUGCUAAGUCGCAAGACGAUGUAUAGGAGCUGACGCCUGCCCGGUGCUGGAAGGUUAAGGGGAUCUGUUAGAGCAAUCGAAGCAGUGAACUUAAGCCCCAGUAAACGGCGGCCGUAACUAUAACGGUCCUAAGGUAGCGAAAUUCCUUGUCGGGUAAGUUCCGACCCGCACGAAAGGCGUAACGAUUUGGGCACUGUCUCAACAACAGACUCGGUGAAAUUGUAAUUCCGGUGAAGAUGCCGGAUACCUGCGACAGGACGGAAAGACCCCAUGGAGCUUUACUGUAGCUUGACAUUGGGUCUUGGUACUACAUGUACAGGAUAGGUGGGAGGCUUUGAAACCAGGACGCCAGUUUUGGCGGAGCCAUCCUUGGGAUACCACCCUUGUAGUACUGGGACUCUAACCAUAGGCCAUGAAUCUGGUCUUGGGACACUGUCAGGUGGGCAGUUUGACUGGGGCGGUCGCCUCCCAAAAGGUAACGGAGGCGCUCAAAGGUUCUCUCAGUACGGUCGGAAAUCGUACGUAGAGUGUAAAGGCAAAAGAGAGCUUGAUUGCAAGACAUACAGGUCGAGCAAGGAUGAAAAUCGGACUUAGUGAUCCGGUGGUUCUGCGUGGAAGGGCCAUCGCUCAACGGAUAAAAGCUACCCUGGGGAUAACAGGCUUAUCUCCCCCAAGAGUCCACAUCGACGGGGAGGUUUGGCACCUCGAUGUCGGCUCAUCACAUCCUGGGGCUGUAGUAGGUCCCAAGGGUUGGGCUGUUCGCCCAUUAAAGUGGUACGCGAGCUGGGUUCAGAACGUCGUGAGACAGUUCGGUCCCUAUCCGUCGCAGGCGUAGGAAAUUUGAGAAGACCUGUCCUUAGUACGAGAGGACCGGGAUGGACGUACCUCUGGUGUACCAGUUGUUCUGCCAAGGGCAUGGCUGGGUAGCUAUGUACGGAAUGGAUAAGCGCUGAAAGCAUCUAAGCGCGAAGCCAACUUCAAGAUAAGAUUUCCCACCGCAAGGGUAAGACCCCAGAAAGACUAUCUGGUUGAUAGGUCGAAGGUGUAAGUGCAGCAAUGUAUUUAGCUUAUCGAUACUAAUAGGUCGAGGACUUGACCA